AGCCUGAUCCAGCCAUGCCGCGUGAUUGAUGAAGGCCCUACGGGUUGUAAAGAUCUUUCAACAGUGAAGAUAAUGACGGUAACUGUAGAAGAAGCUCCGGCUAACUCCGUGCCAGCAGCCGCGGUAAUACGGAGGGAGCUAGCGUUGUUCGGAAUUACUGGGCGUAAAGCGCGCGUAGGCGGAUUAUUAAGUCAGAGGUGAAAUCCCGGGGCUCAACCCCGGAACUGCCUUUGAUACUGGUAGUCUAGAGGUCGAGAGAGGUGAGUGGAAUUCCGAGUGUAGAGGUGAAAUUCGUAGAUAUUCGGAGGAACACCAGUGGCGAAGGCGGCUCACUGGCUCGAUACUGACGCUGAGGUGCGAAAGUGUGGGUAGCAAACAGGAUUAGAUACCCUGGUAGUCCACACCGUAAACGAUGAAUGCUAGUCGUCAGGGGACUUGUCCUUUGGUGACGCAGCUAACGCAUUAAGCAUUCCGCCUGGGGAGUACGGUCGCAAGAUUAAAACUCAAAGGAAUUGACGGGGG
Molecule: ribosomal RNA, 522 nt
Filed under: uncultured Paracoccaceae bacterium
Lineage: Bacteria; Pseudomonadati; Pseudomonadota; Alphaproteobacteria; Rhodobacterales; Paracoccaceae
Description: bacterial SSU rRNA
Rfam family: Bacterial small subunit ribosomal RNA
Source: RNAcentral